GUAGGUGGCGAGCGUUGUCCAGAAUUAUUGGGCGUAAAGCGCGCGCAGGCGGUCCUUUAAGUCUGAUGUGAAAGCCCACGGCUCAACCGUGGAGGGUCAUUGGAAACUGGGGGGCUUGAGUACAGAAGAGGAAAGCGGAAUUCCAAGUGUAGCGGUGAAAUGCGUAGAGAUUUGGAGGAACACCAGUGGCGAAGGCGGCUUUCUGGUCUGUAACUGACGCUGAGGCGCGAAAGCGUGGGGAGCAAACAGGGAUUAGAUACCCUGGUAGUCCACGCCGUAAACGAUGAGUGCUAAGUGUUAGGGGGUUUCCCGCCCCUUAGUGCUGCAGCUAACGCAUUAAGCACUCCGCCUGGGGAUACGGCCGCAAGGCUG
RNAcentral lists this ribosomal RNA (372 nucleotides) under uncultured organism. RNAcentral's name for it is "partial 16S ribosomal RNA". It matches the Rfam family "Bacterial small subunit ribosomal RNA", at positions 527 to 896 of the family's 1533-position model. The record is from RNAcentral.